CCUACGUGCGUCAGCAGUAUUUAAUUUUCGGCAAUUGUUGUAACCCUUACCGAGCAACGCCGCGUGAACGAAGAAGUUAUUCGUAAUGUAAAGUUCUUUUAACAGGGAAGAAAGAGAAAUUUGACGGUACCUGAAGAAUAAGCUCCGGCUAACUACGUGCCAGCAGCCGCGGUAAUACGUAGGGAGCGAGCGUUAUCCGGAAUUAUUGGGCGUAAAGGGUGCGUAGAUGGCAUAGUAAGUCUUUUGUAAAAAUGCUGGGCUCAACCCAGUAGGGCAAAAGAUACUGCAAAGCUAGAGUAUGACAGAGGCAAGUGGAACUACAUGUGUAGCGGUAAAAGGCGUAAAUAUAUGUAAGAAAACCAGUGGCGAAGGCGGCUUGCUGGGUCGAUACUGACAUUGAGGCACGAAAGCGUGGGGAGCAAACAGGAUUAGAUACCCCUGUAGUC
RNAcentral lists this ribosomal RNA (446 nucleotides) under uncultured bacterium. RNAcentral describes it as "partial 16S ribosomal RNA". It matches the Rfam family "Bacterial small subunit ribosomal RNA", at positions 338 to 795 of the family's 1533-position model. The record is from RNAcentral.